RNAcentral lists this long non-coding RNA (1840 nucleotides) under Oreochromis niloticus (Nile tilapia). Its description in RNAcentral is "lncRNA (ENSONIG00000035966.1)". Lineage: Eukaryota; Metazoa; Chordata; Actinopteri; Cichliformes; Cichlidae. The record is from RNAcentral.
GAUUGAGGAGACCCCGGAAGAAAUGAUUGGCAGCUGAAGCUGAGACUUAACACAACUGUGAAUCAAUAACUCGGUGCUACUCUAAAGGCAGUUGGCUUUUAGGCUCCUGGUGCUGAAGAUAGAGGUGUCAGACCUCCACAUAUUCUCAGUGUUGGAGUGAGGCCCUCUCUGAGCUGCAGUGGAGGGCUUCACAGAUACAGCUAGUCUGGCUGGAUGCAUCACCCAGUAGAGCAGUUUGGCGGGCGAGGCACACGGGAUUCCUUCCCUCUGGACGAACUCAACCGGGGGCCAUGGCCUCCCGUGGGCGGCCGCGCCUGGCAGCCACCUGCCAGGUGUUCACCUACAAUGAACCAACACCAGCUACUUCCCCAUCUACCUCCUGGACCUAUGGGUGGAUUAAACCAUCACAGCAAAUAUUUCAGUAAUGGGCCGAUGCGAGGAAGCGAGAAGCUCGAUCUCCCACAGCCAAUGUUACCACCUCUGCAGAGGGAGCAGCAGAGACCUCCCCACCAUCUUCAUCCUCCACCUCAUCACAGAGCGUGGGAAAUUAGCCAGCUAUAUGAUUCCCACCUUCCUCCUCGAGGACAUCCGGUCAUGCCCCUGCCCAAUGACCUCUCGCUCCGUCUCCAUAAUGGAGGCUACGGGGGCAGCGGCGGACCUCCGCCUAACCCCCAUUUCCCCUCCAGGGGGCCAAACCACAUGCUGAAAUUUGGGGGUCCUCAGGAGCCGAAUGUUCCCCGGGGUCCACCUUUGCUGGGAGAUGACAUGUGGGCUCAGGUGCACCAGCAGAGGCCAUACCCAGGAAAGAUGCAAGGAGGUCAGCUGAAGCGACCAGGCCCUCCGCUGGGUGAACACUCCGUUAUCCAACACACGCCUUCACCAUCGCUGCACACGCCCUCACAGUCUACAGCAGAGGAGUGUCCCAGCCCCAGCAAAAGGAAAAAGAGUUCAGAUCAGGUAUCUCACCCUGGGCUACAACGUUUCUCUGGUGCUGGCCAAUCUUUGCCGCAGCAGCAGUCGUCUGCUCAGCACCACCCUCCAAAGCCCGCCUUCUGGAACCCCAUUCACAAGGACAGCAGUGUUCCCUGGCAGCCACAAACCUCAGAGCGCAAGAACCCACAAUCACAUGAGUUCCAGGAAAACAACAAACAAGGUAUGGGCAGCUACACCCAGAGGUCCUCUCCUGCAUCUUUGGCCCCUUCCAACCUCGCUCCUUUACCCAACUCCCCUCCGGGAAGCUACAACCAGGGAUGUGCUCCUAAGAUUCAGAAAGACAAGUUACAACCUCAGGCUGUAAACCAUCGGUCCCCUCACUCCUCCUACCCCAGUCCUGGCUCCAAACCGGAGAGUGCUCCGCCAUCCCAAGCUAAAGAGACUCGUGGUCCUCAGAUGCAGAGAGGCCCUCUCAUUGGGGGCCAAGGUGGCAGCCAAGCUACCUCUCACACAGCAUCAACUCCAACCAGGGGAGACAGAGAUCAUCACCGACAUGCCCAGUCAUCACCAGCAAACGUUUCUGCGACCGGCAGCAACAACAGCAGCAGCAGUGUGCCUUACAGCCACUUCCAGCCUCAUCCAGGGCUGGUCCACCAGGGUCCUCCUCCUCCACCGCCUCAAGCCAGCAGCACCUCAGUACCUCAGCAACAGCAAAGCGGUCCACAUGAGGCCUGGAGAUAUCAGAGCACGCCCAGCAAUCACUCCCUGGUGAGUUCAAGUUAUUCAUGUGCAGCCUCAUUUGAACCAUGCUGCAAGAAUGAGUUCCUUUAAUAAAGGGCAGCAGCACAACGCAGCCACAUCAGCUGUUAACACAGUUGUUUUUUGAUCACUAUUAUAUUAAGUGACU